CCCCUUCAAAUCCGCGGAGGAGGGGGCUAUAUCCUGUCCUGUCUCCGCAAGGGGACUAUGGCGAUAAACGCGCACGGAAUAAGCGGUUCGGACCCGGGGGCGGUACCCGGCGGCUCCACCAAUCUCCUGCUUCCCGGUCAUGGACGGGGGGAUCCCAGGACGCGAGGGGCCGAAACAGGAUCGACGGACGUGUAAAGGUGUUUGCUUUCGCUCGGCAGGAUGCCACCGUUACCGGCUCAAAUUGUACAGUUGCCAAUGACAACCGUGCUCCGGUGGCCGUCGCUGCGUAACGCAGCUUAAACCACCGAUCUUAAAGUCCUGUGGGUUUGCACCUUCAGGCGGGGCUCGCUGGCGCCUGGCAACAGAAGCCAGCACU
RNAcentral lists this transfer-messenger RNA (376 nucleotides) under Albimonas pacifica. Its description in RNAcentral is "Alphaproteobacteria transfer-messenger RNA". It matches the Rfam family "Alphaproteobacteria transfer-messenger RNA". From Rfam's summary of the family: Bacterial tmRNA, also known as 10Sa RNA or SsrA, is named for its dual tRNA and mRNA-like properties. Lineage: Bacteria; Pseudomonadati; Pseudomonadota; Alphaproteobacteria; Rhodobacterales; Paracoccaceae. The record is from Rfam by way of RNAcentral.